Molecule: non-coding RNA, 114 nt
Organism: Oryzias latipes (Japanese medaka)
Lineage: Eukaryota; Metazoa; Chordata; Actinopteri; Beloniformes; Adrianichthyidae
Source: Rfam
CUCAGGUAUGGGGACAUGGUUCCAAACACCAUAGCGGGGAAGAUCUUUGGUUCCAUCUGUUCCCUCAGCGGUGUGCUUGUGAUCGCGCUGCCAGUGCCCGUCAUUGUGUCCAAC